UGUUGGAGUCAUGGGAUCACACCAGCACAGCAGGUCUCCUCUCUUAAACAAACAAGCACAAGAGGCUUUACCAGAGAAAAGCAGGGGACAUGAGCCGUUCCUGACUCUCACAGGUGUACUGGAGCAGUAUAUUAAGAGACUGAGGUCUGUACCCAUAUGUAGAGUCAUCUUGCGAAGCUGACAGAGCAGCUCUGUUGUCGUGUUUUGAAGAAAAAUGUGGACUCUUACCCUUUAGAUGUCUUAAGAUCCAGCUUGGUUCUUCACGCAGGAACUCUAGGCCACAAAUAUCUCUGUUUCUCCUUUCCCUGACAGGCUCUCAUUAGUGGAAUAGAUUUCUCUUCCCUGGUUCUUUCUGUGCUACAGGACUGACCAACUCACAUAAGUAUAAUCGUAGCCACUAACGCCUCUUUUUCAGCUGACCAUGUAUGGCUUUAGGUUACUCUGACACCUUCCUGUGCUGUGAAAGAACCUGGGAUCUGCUUUACAAAAAGAACUAACAUCUUUAAGCCCAGGGAAUAUGUAGAAAGGAAUGAAAUACCAAACCAAAAUAUUG
RNAcentral lists this long non-coding RNA (553 nucleotides) under Struthio camelus australis. Its description in RNAcentral is "lncRNA (ENSSCUG00000005849.1)". Lineage: Eukaryota; Metazoa; Chordata; Aves; Struthioniformes; Struthionidae. The record is from RNAcentral.